Molecule: long non-coding RNA, 1942 nt
Organism: Dermacentor albipictus
Lineage: Eukaryota; Metazoa; Arthropoda; Arachnida; Ixodida; Ixodidae
Source: RefSeq, a predicted model, not a curated record
UUGGCCCAACGCUGCAUCUGGUGCCCGGCACAGAACAAGGCCUAGCUGCUGCGGUAUAACGCAACCUCCGGAAGGUUGCGUCUGCUUCUUGACACAUCGACCUAACGCUUCGUAUUUGACUGCCACAGCGAGAACGCGCGCCACGAGGCCAUAACUCCCGAAGCCUUCGAUUGAGUCGGGAAACUACGUGCACCGGUAGAGAGCAAAUCAGUCAACGGAACUUCGCAAGGGCAAAGCAUACACAAGCCUUGGCGCGGCUCGAGCCAGAGGGGUUUGCGAAACCUAACAUGAAAGAGGCGUUUUCAGAGCAAGUGUCCGUAUGGGAGCGCAACAACACGACGUUCUAGCGCCUGCUUCGCCUCUCCGGGUGCUCUGCCGUGCUGCUACAUCGCACCGCACAACAAGUACCAGCAUCACGACGUUCCUCCGAACACGCUGCGCCGUUUCGCGGGACGUUAGUUGCCGAAAUCCCGCUUUUAUCUUACGACCUUGUUGACGCGAAAGUGAACCGGCUCGAACACAAAAGUGCUCCUUUAUCGAACGCAGCAGCUGCCUAAUGCAAAACACAAACUACACGAACGAGACUCUCGGUUUAGAUAACGCAAAACUGCUCGCGUAGCCAGAAUUAACGGCGCUCUUUUCAUAGGGACAAUUCGGCACACUAUCUAAAUCGGCGUACGCUCACAUCCACAUUCGCUGAUCGAGGUACUUCAAAGCAAGGAUAUUCAGUGCCGGCGCACUUUAAAGCACGCACUUCGGUCCUCUGCAAUGCAAACCGAGAGAGAUCAGAGGCAGACGAGGCAAAGUUAAAUCUACGAACCAGGACGACUGUGACUGAGAGAAACAGAAAUAAAAACCAGCACCACGCGCUUCGGUGAUCAGGCGCCGCAGAGCGGCCGAAAAGCAGCGGCGCUUUUAAUCGCCUGCCGCGGGGAAUUCCCUUUCAAUGCAGCAGGCGGGGCCGCGAGCUCAAACAGACGCGACAGAUGCGAAGCGUGCGAAAUGGGGAGACUCAACGGGAGGAGGGAAAAAGAAAAGAAGGAACGUGGACAAAGCAAGCGCAAAUGCAAACAGGUUCUCGCCCGGUGAGCACGCGCCUAUAACUGUCCGCUCAUAGCGGCAUGCAUUGCGUGGCUCUUUGUAAAUGCUCACUUGUCUUUUUUUUUUUUUCGUCCCAUUUUCCCUCUAUAACCUCCUCGCGUUUGCCGGACACGAAACCGUUGUCCCUACGCAGCGUGCGCUAUCCGUCGACGAGCAGCAGCCUCGUUGUGAGAGCGCCCGGGGUAAUCGUCGCACGAACAAAUCUCUAAAACUACGGAAACAGCCCGAAAGAAAAAAAAAGCAAAACAUAAAAUGGCGGUUGAUAGCCAGAACCAUAUCGCUAGAGAAAAAGUAACUAACGAAAAACGGCGAUACCCGUUGAGAUAACAGGCACGACAAUGUUUACACAAGGUGGUCAGCAUGCGCGAGCGGGCAUCGCGAGAUAAGGUCCAGAGAAAGCUUAUCGACUGAGACCGACAGUGGGUGAAAGCAACGGCCUCAUAUAACGAAAAAAAAAAGUUCCAGAAGCUCGGCGCUGAUGACGUCAUUUCCGAUGGCUGGGAAACAAAUUUAAGUAGUAGAAACGCUAACAUACUUUUUUUUUUCGUUGGAAGAAAUAAACUUUCCCUUUCACUGAUACGAAGAGUUACUGACGACCCCAUGUGCAUGCCUGUCAACCUGUGAACUCUACAAUUGCUAAUUCCCAAAACUAUUGAACGAGAAGAGAGGGGAAAGCCCGAGUUUAAGUUUUACUCCGAGCCCACACUUGUUUUUUUUUUUUUGUGUGUGUAGGAUACCUACAGACGCACUUUAGUGACACUGAUUUAUUUACCUACAGGACAUUUUACGCAAGCAGCAGCAAAGUUCGAACAGCCCAACUGUGAAGCAAUAAAGUACGACU